AGGCAGGCGGUUAGGAAAGUUGGAUGUGAAAGCUCCUGGCUUAACUGGGAGAGGUCGUUCAAAACUACCUGACUAGAGAUUGGGAGAGGGAGGUGGAAUUCCGGGUGUAGUGGUGAAAUGCGUAGAUAUCCGGAGGAACACCAGUGGCGAAAGCGGCCUCCUGGCCCAAGACUGACGCUCAGACGCGAAAGCUAGGGUAGCAAACG
Molecule: ribosomal RNA, 206 nt
Filed under: uncultured bacterium
Lineage: Bacteria
Description: partial 16S ribosomal RNA
Rfam family: Bacterial small subunit ribosomal RNA
Source: RNAcentral